This 114-nucleotide ribosomal RNA is filed under the name Fasciola gigantica. Lineage: Eukaryota; Metazoa; Platyhelminthes; Trematoda; Plagiorchiida; Fasciolidae. The record is from RNAcentral.
GCGACCAUACCUCGGUAGAAACAUCGGUUUUCGUCUGAAUAUGGGAGUUAAACAACGUCGCGCAUGGUUCAUACGUGCGUAGGUGACCGGCUGGCAAUACCGAGUGUUGUGGUC